This 253-nucleotide ribosomal RNA is filed under the name uncultured bacterium. Its description in RNAcentral is "partial 16S ribosomal RNA". It matches the Rfam family "Bacterial small subunit ribosomal RNA", at positions 524 to 776 of the family's 1533-position model. The record is from RNAcentral.
UACGAAGGGUGCAAGCGUUACUCGGAAUUACUGGGCGUAAAGCGUGCGUAGGUGGUUUGUUAAGUCUGAUGUGAAAGCCCUGGGCUCAACCUGGGAACUGCAUUGGAAACUGGCUUACUAGAGUGCGGUAGAGGGGUGUGGAAUUCCCGGUGUAGCAGUGAAAUGCGUAGAUAUCGGGAGGAACAUCUGUGGCGAAGGCGACACCCUGGACCAGCACUGACACUGAUGAGCGAAAGCCAGGGGAGCAAACGGG